This 410-nucleotide ribosomal RNA is filed under the name uncultured Pantoea sp. RNAcentral describes it as "bacterial SSU rRNA". It matches the Rfam family "Bacterial small subunit ribosomal RNA", at positions 505 to 914 of the family's 1533-position model. The record is from RNAcentral. Lineage: Bacteria; Pseudomonadati; Pseudomonadota; Gammaproteobacteria; Enterobacterales; Erwiniaceae.
GUGCCAGCCGCUGCGGUAAUACGGAGGGUGCAAGCGUUAAUCGGAAUUACUGGGCGUAAAGCGCACGCAGGCGGUCUGACAAGUCGGAUGUGAAAUCCCCGGGCUUAACCCGGGAACUGCAUUCGAAACUGUCAGGCUGGAGUCUUGUAGAGGGGGGUAGAAUUCCAGGUGUAGCGGUGAAAUGCGUAGAGAUCUGGAGGAAUACCGGUGGCGAAGGCGGCCCCCUGGACAAAGACUGACGCUCAGGUGCGAAAGCGUGGGGAGCAAACAGGAUUAGAUACCCUGGUAGUCCACGCUGUAAACGAUGUCGACUUGGAGGUUGUGCCCUUGAGGCGUGGCUUCCGGAGCUAACGCGUUAAGUCGACCGCCUGGGGAGUACGGCCGCAAGGUUAAAACUCAAAUGAAUUGAC